This 1221-nucleotide ribosomal RNA is filed under the name Elimia interrupta. Its description in RNAcentral is "partial 16S ribosomal RNA". The stretch from base 616 to 1221 matches the Rfam family "Archaeal large subunit ribosomal RNA", at positions 1423 to 2679 of the family's 2987-position model. The record is from RNAcentral. Lineage: Eukaryota; Metazoa; Mollusca; Gastropoda; Pleuroceridae.
CAUAUAAUAUACUACAUACUAUAUAUUUAUAUAUUACUUGAAACAUCAAAAAGUUAAGUAUUGGAGAAAGAAACACAUAAAUGUAUUAAAAGUACCGCACGGGAAAUAUAUUAAUAUAAAAAAGCUGUUACAGUAACGUACUUUUUGUAUCACGACUUAGCAAGAUUCGAUCAGAAUUCUGUUGUCUCGAAAGUUAGUGAGCUAUUUUUCUUAGGUUUAUUUGAGCCUUGACUAAAAAUGUAGCAAAAUUUUAGUAAUAAAAAAAAAUAGAGAUGAAAUUUCAUUCGCACUAACGAUAGCUAGUUUUUCUGGAAAGAUAUAAAAGAGUCGAUGAGAAAAUAAUUAUAAAAUAUUAAUUAUUCUAUAAAAUGUUUCUCGAUUAAUUUUUUUGAGGAUAAGCUCGAAAAAAAGUUAAGAAAUUUUACUAAUUUAGGUUAUUAUGUGGGCUUAAAAUUAGCAAUCAUAAGAGUUUGUUAUAAAACAGCAAUUUUAAUAAUUAAGAUAAAUAUACUUCAUUCUAAUUUUUUACAGAAAUAAAGACCUUGAUUAAUAAAUGUCUUAUACCUAUGCUAGGAUGAGUAUUAAAACUUUAUAUAUUCUAAGAAAGUUUUAUGUAAUUUUCUUCCAGGGAAAUAUUAAUCAAAUUAAAUUAGUUAAAAGGAACUCGGCAAAAUUAAUUGCUUCGCCUGUUUAUCAAAAACAUGGCUCUCUGAAUUAAUUUUAUAGGGAGCCCGGCCUGCCCAGUGAAUAAUAUUUAACGGCCGCGGUACUCUGACCGUGCAAAGGUAGCAUAAUCAUUUGCCUUAUAAUUGAAGGCUAGUAUGAAUGGUUUGACGAAAGCAAUACUGUCUCCUUUCUAUUUUCAAGAAUUUAACCUUUAGGUGAAGAGGCCUAAAUCUAAUUGAAGGACAAGAAGACCCUGUCGAGCUUAAAAGACAUUAUAGAAGUCUAUAUAUUUUUAAAUAAAUUUACUAUUGAGCUUUUUAGUUGGGGCGACUAAGGAACAAAAAAAGCUUCUUAUAACAACCAAACGCUCGAGUUUUGAUCCGGGAAUAACCGAUUAAGGGAAUUAGUUACCGCAGGGAUAACAGCAUAAUCUCUCUUGAGAGACCUAAUCGAAAGAGGGGGUUGUGACCUCGAUGUUGGACUAGAAUAUCCUAAAGAUGCAGAAGUCUUUAAGGGUCGGUCUGUUCGACCGUUAAAAUUCUACAUGAUCUGAGC